This 253-nucleotide ribosomal RNA is filed under the name uncultured bacterium. Its description in RNAcentral is "partial 16S ribosomal RNA". It matches the Rfam family "Bacterial small subunit ribosomal RNA", at positions 524 to 776 of the family's 1533-position model. The record is from RNAcentral.
CACGUAGGGGACGAGCGUUGUCCGGAUUCAUUGGGCGUAAAGCGCGCGUAGGCGGCUCGGAAAGUCGAACGUGAAAUCCCCGGGCUCAACCCGGGAACUGCGUCCGAUACUGGAAGGCUUGAAUCCGGGAGAGGGAUGCGGAAUUCCAGGUGUAGCGGUGAAAUGCGUAGAUAUCUGGAGGAACACCGGUGGCGAAGGCGGCAUCCUGGACCGGCAUUGACGCUGAGGCGCGAAAGCCAGGGGAGCAAACGGG